ACCUCUAGCCAGGGACGCGCGCUCGGUCCCCCGCCGUGCGCCCCCGGUCCCGCGCCCAGGCUCCCGCCCCUGGCCUCCUUACCAGCCACUUGUCGCCCAGCUGCGAACUGGAGCGGGAGGCGGCGGCCGGAGGGCCCAGGACAGCCCCGGGAGGGCGGCGAGGCGGAGCAGGAGCGCCCCGGCUCCGGCCACAUUCUCAGAGUCAGGAAAAGGGGCGAGAGGCCACAUGUCUCCCUCUCGCCCAACUGAAAACGAAACGGCGCUCCAGCAGAUUGGGUGGAAAGAGCUGGGUCUCUUUUCUCUGUUUUUCACGCUAGAAAGGGCUUGUAAACAUUGUUCCUUUUAAAAUGACCUACCCCAGGCAUUUGUUUGGGCACACUUCUGUCCUGGGGUCAUCGUUCCUAGGUGGCUUCGGACCUGGGACUUUUCCUGUAUCUGCACAUUGUCGUUUUAUACACAAUUGCCAAGGUGGGACUGCUUUCAACUUUACUGUGCUUGAAGCUGCAAAGGUUCUGCCCUGAUGUUUCCUGGAAUAAUGCUGAGGACUGCCUUUCGGGUAGCCGCCCUAUUCAGUUCACUUCAUCUCGGAAAUACCUGACCCCUGCCUUGGAUCCAGCGGCCCUCCUGAGAGCUGAGGAAGGAGGAAAUCCUAUGUGUCUGCUCCCGGAGCUGCCACAACCCAUCUUCCCACAACUCGGAACUUGGAAAAAGGAACCCAGGACACGACUUUGCUUUUCUUUUGGACCUAGUUGAUACAAGUUAACAGGAUAUGCUUCUGGCCUGUUUCUGGAUUCUAAGGGUAGAACCAGCAUAAAACUAGUCAGUCCAAGUAUUUCUAAAGAUCCACAGACACAGUUCUCCUGGAUUUGGGAAGCCUAGAGAUAUUAGCACAAUAAUUAAGGCCCAAAGGCAGCACAUAAGAGAGGGAAAGCCAUGCGCGUGGAGUCCAGCACAUCACCCAGAAGGCAGAUGUUCUAUCUCCAUUUUACUCAUUAAAACAAACAAAACCACACCUGGAUUGCCUGCAACUUUUAAAAGCCUUUCCACUGCACAGUGAAAGAAAACCACAAACUCCUUGUUUAAUAAGUGGGAUCACGUGCUUUUAACACGAGGAAAAGGUCAAUCUGAAGCAACUGAUAUGGAACUGCCAGAGUAGGAGUUGAAAAUCUUCCUAAACUGCUGGAGGAUACACCUCUGAUAGCUUGAGACAAAUAUCCUCUUGAUCAUUGUUUCACCAUAUUUGUCUUUGCUCAUGGAGAACCAUUUUGAUCCGUGGUUUAGCCUCCCAGGUGAUUGAACAAUACCGGUGAUCUGAGGCAGACCCUCUGUGACGGAUAACAGAAAAGAAAAUUGAGGAUCAGAAAAUACGCACAAUUUGCAAAAACCAUGGGAAAGAAUAUUGAUUGAACAUCUACUCAAGAACUGCAAAACAGAGAUUACCUGACCUAAAGAUGAAUCCAGGAUUCGGUGGUGCCUGUUCCAGGAACCUUUAGUGUGAAGGAUCCUCCAGGUGAGAGAAGCCUUUAUGUCUUCUGAAAUGGUUCUGCUGUGUCCCCACCCAAAUCUUGUAUUGAAGCUCCCAUAAUUCCCGCGUGCUGUGGGAGGGACCCAGUGGGAGAUAAUUGAAUCAUGGAGGCAGUUUCCCCCAUACUGUUCUUGUGGUAGUGAAUAAAUCUCACCAGAUCUGAUGAUUUUAUAAGAGGUUUCCCCUUUCACUUGGCUCU
Molecule: long non-coding RNA, 1724 nt
Filed under: Homo sapiens (human)
Lineage: Eukaryota; Metazoa; Chordata; Mammalia; Primates; Hominidae
Description: PREDICTED lncRNA (TCONS_00025402)
Source: RNAcentral